RNAcentral lists this ribosomal RNA (141 nucleotides) under uncultured bacterium. RNAcentral describes it as "partial 16S rRNA". It matches the Rfam family "Bacterial small subunit ribosomal RNA", at positions 356 to 511 of the family's 1533-position model. The record is from RNAcentral.
UGGGGAAUUUCCGCAAUGGGCGAAAGGCCUGACGGAGCAAUGCCGCGUGGAGGUGGAAGGCCUACGGGUCGUCAACUUCUUUUCUCGGAGAAGAAACAAUGACGGUAUCUGAGGAAUAAGCAUCGGCUAACUCUGUGCCAG